GUGUGGUUACACUGCCGUCAUGGCUGAAUGAAAUUGUUGACGAUCUGUCAGUUUUGUGAAAUCUUUUAUUUUCGCCGUGAUUGGUAGUUUGUGAGUUGUGGUUUACUAAUGGAUCGUGUUCAAUAAAUGCUAAUGAAUAUUAAUAACAUUUCACAAUGAACGGGUUAAGUUUCAGUGAACUCUGUUGCCUGUUUUGUUGUCCGCCAUGCCCAGGGAAAAUCGCGGCUAAGCUUGCAUUUCUACCUCCAGAACCUACGUAUUCAUUCACACCUGACGAAACGGGGUCAAAAUUCUCUCUGACACUCACUGAACGAGCAGAGUGGCAGUAUUCUGAACGUGAGAAGGAGAAUAUUGAAGGUUUCUAUUCGCGAACCUCAAGAGGGAACAGAAUCGCUUGUCUCUUUGUUCGAUGCAGCCCUAAUGCACGUUUCACAAUAUUAUUCUCACACGGAAACGCCGUGGACCUUGGACAGAUGAGUAGUUUUUAUUUAGGCUUAGGAACUCGAAUAAACUGUAAUAUAUUCAGCUACGACUAUUCUGGAUACGGAGUGAGUGGCGGGAAGCCUUCAGAGAAGAAUCUGUACGCAGACAUUGACGCUGCGUGGCAGGCGCUGCGCACGCGCUACGGCAUCAGCCCCGAGAACAUCAUACUGUAUGGGCAAAGCAUAGGCACCGUGCCUACUGUGGACCUGGCAGCGCGUUACGAGGUGGGCGCCGUUGUGCUGCACUCGCCGCUCAUGUCCGGCAUGAGGGUCGCCUUCCCUAACACCAAAAGGACAUGGUUCUUUGAUGCAUUUCCCAGUAUCGAUAAAAUCCCUAAAGUUACCUCGCCAGUUCUGGUGAUCCACGGAACUGAGGAUGAGGUGAUAGACUUCUCCCACGGACUCGCCAUAUACGAGCGCUGUCCGCGUGCUGUGGAACCACUUUGGGUUUGAGGGUGCUGGACAUAAUGAUGUCGAACUCUUCAAUCAGUAUCUCGACAGACUGAAACGUUUUGUAUCUGUAGAAUUGCUCAACUGACAAAGACUGCCGGCCACGGGCCAGACAAUUCAAGGUGACGACCAAAAUCCAGCUUCGACACUGAGCUCCGGCACUUCUAGUUCUGUGACAGAGAGACUCCUCUAGCUAGCGGGGGCCGGGCCCAGCCGGGCCGGCCCCAACAAAAAUAAUGCCAAUAAUGGCAACGGUAGUCCGCAGCGCGAUCUCGCCGCCGACGCCGACACCCCCGCGCCCGCCGCGCCCGCCGCGCCCGCACACAACAUCAGCAUCAACGUCACCGACACGGACUCGCCCGACGGCGCCCGUCGCCGCAUCCACCUGCGCUCGCUCAGCGACGUCACGCCCGCCAGCCGCGCCCACACCCCCCGCG
RNA transcript from Manduca sexta (tobacco hornworm), 1369 nucleotides. It is a transcript of the gene named alpha/beta hydrolase domain-containing protein 17B, with no coding region annotated. The record is from RefSeq and is a predicted model, not a curated record. The transcript has 4 exons. NCBI's taxonomy places the organism in Eukaryota, Metazoa, Arthropoda, Insecta, Lepidoptera, Sphingidae.